This 507-nucleotide unclassified non-coding RNA is filed under the name uncultured Paraglomus. RNAcentral's name for it is "bacterial SSU rRNA". It matches the Rfam family "Eukaryotic small subunit ribosomal RNA", at positions 569 to 1080 of the family's 1831-position model. The record is from RNAcentral. Lineage: Eukaryota; Fungi; Glomeromycota; Glomeromycetes; Paraglomerales; Paraglomeraceae.
AGCAGCCGCGGUAAUUCCAGCUCCAAUAGCGUAUAUUAAAGUUGUUGCAGUUAAAAAGCUCGUAGUUGAACUUCAGGCCUGUCCAGAUGGUCCGCCUUAAUUGGUGUGUACUGUCCUUGGGUGGGUCCUACCUUCUGGCGAAGUGGCAUGGCCUUAGUUGGUUGUGUCGGGGAAGCAGGACUUUUACUGUGAAAAAUUGAGUGUUCAAAGCAGGCAUAUAUGCUCGAAUACAUUAGCAUGGAAUAAUGGAAUAGGACGAUGGUUCUAUUUUGUGGUUCUAGGACCGUUGUAAUGAUUAAUAGGGAUAGUUGGGGGCAUUAGUAUUCAAUUGUCAGAGGUGAAAUUCUUGGAUUUAUUGAAGACUAACUACUGCGAAAGCAUUUGCCAAGGAUGUUUUCAUUAAUCAAGAACGAAAGUUAGGGGAUCGAAGACGAUCAGAUACCGUCGUAGUCUUAACCAUAAACUAUGCCGACUAGGAAUCGGGCGAUGUUGACAAAAUGACUCGAC